UCAAGGCUGCAAUAAUAUUUUUAAUUAAUCAAGGAAUCUAGUGUUAUAGGGAAAAGGCAGUAAAGUGGAGUUUAGGAUAAUCCGUUCAACCACCAAUGAUUGGUAAAACAUACUUGGUGAUCUGCAUGGAAUACUUCUGCUCCUAGGUCAUAUGGUCUAUCUGAAUAGUCUUAUCUUCAAAUAGAUGAUGUAUUGUUUCACCAAUCCUCAUUUAUGAUCUGUACAUUUGAGUCUGAGAAGAAUGUUACAUGGUGAGAACAGAGCUUGUCAAGACUUGACUGAAAAAUACACAAAGCUGAAGUCUUCACAUGAUGUGGAAUAAAAGAAUUGGCACGAAUGUGAAAUCACUAUCAAGCCCUGCCAUCUGCGAAGAUCGAAAUCUCACAAGAGAAGAAAACUGAAGAGAAGUUAUAUUGUUUGAAAAAAAAUCAAACCUCACAUGGAAUAGUUUACAUGGAGCAGAAAUGUUACCCAAAACGUAGGGGAAGAUGAAUCCACAGUUACAAAACAACCGGACAAGCAUUAGUUUCCCCAUUAUAUCAACCCUCUUGAAAAUUACCAUGAAUGUUGAAAAGUGAAAAGACCAUGGCUGGAGAAAAAUCCUGAAAUAGCAUGAUCCUGGAACCCUUGUGCAUCAUGGCCUGGGGAUCCUUCCCCUGGACUCUGGAGGCUUCCAGGAGCAUCUGCUUCUGCAGUACAACCAAGAGCGACUCCGACCUGGACCUGGAUUCUUUGAUGAAGAUGUUGAUCUUUUCCUGCAGCUUGUUGAUCAUGGAGAUCAGGCUCGCCUCUGCAGGUGGCAGAAGUUGUACAAGAAGUUUUGGUCAUGAUUCCAACCACACAUUCCUAAACACAAGCACAAUGAUGCUCUGGACCUUUGACUAGCAGUUACACAAUGUACAGUUGGUAUUUCUAAACUGAGAUUUCACUGUUUAGAUUUCAUAGGAGCAGAUUGUAAUGUGUAUCCUCUGCAAAAUGACAUAAUUGAAUGACAUUAUUGUUGACCUACCAAGGAGCAACAAUUAAAGCAAAUGGCAUUAGUGUGCUGGAGCAUGAUCAGGGAGUGACCAGGGAUGCAAGUAAUGUAAUAAUUUGUAAUCAACUCUUGUAAGAAUGAUUGGGCCCUACUGUUGCAUAUUCAAAUGUAGUGCAUGGUAAUGUGUUCAGUUAGAGGUUACAUUAUCUUAUUUAGCUGUCGCUCCUGGAGAGAAAAUGACUAUCUGUGGGCAGAGGUUAUCAGGAACAAGUUCAGCUGCCUGACAGGGGUGUUGUUUGUAUGAGGGCUUCGAGCAACAAAAGGUCUAGUGUGAGAUUCGAUUGCAGACAAAUAGUUCCAACAAAUUUGUUGGAAAAAAAUGAUACUAAGAUUAUUAUUCAAACUAUAAAUCUCUAAAUAUUUCCAUCAAAUAUUUGUGACAACUGCAGCAAAAUUAAAUCAAUUAUCCCACCGUUUAUAUAGAGAUGUGACAAUUCGUUUCAUUUUGUCUGUACUAUCUAUCCUGUUUGAUGAGUGCAAGAUGAUCUUGUUUUUCAGUUACCACCCUCUGUCAGAUCACCCUUGAAACAUUUUCCAAGGCUAGAGUAAGCCUUGCGUCACUGAAUGCUCCCCCUGGAUUUACAACCUGCAGUUCACUUCAGGCUUCCUCAUCACUGUCCAACUCCACCUUACUUGCACCAUCACACCCUGACACUCCAGGUUCCAUAUUACAGGAAAUAACAAGGAAAACAGAUAAUUUAUAUGGAGUAAGCUUGUAGUUCACAUACAGUUCAGGAAUUUCUUUGCCUGUCUCUCCCCCUCUCUAUGAGAUCUCUUUCUGAGAAAGACACCAUUCCCUCAGAGAGGGUUUGAUUGACUGUUCAAACUCUCCUGCUCAUCACUCUCCCUCACUGUUGCCACCUGCCGGUGGA
Molecule: non-coding RNA, 1908 nt
Organism: Chiloscyllium plagiosum (whitespotted bambooshark)
Lineage: Eukaryota; Metazoa; Chordata; Chondrichthyes; Orectolobiformes; Hemiscylliidae
Source: RefSeq, a predicted model, not a curated record